GACGAACGCUGGCGGCGUGCUUAACACAUGCAAGUCGAGCGGAAAGGCCACUUCGGUGGUACUCGAGCGGCGAACGGGUGAGUAACACGUGAGUAAUCUGCCCCUGGCUUUGGGAUAGCCACCGGAAACGGUGAUUAAUACCGGAUACGACCACUUCUCGCAUGGGAUGGUGGUGGAAAGUUUUUUCGGCCAGGGAUGUGCUCGCGGCCUAUCAGCUUGAUGGUGAGGUAAUGGCUCACCAUGGCUUCGACGGGUAGCCGGCCUGAUAGGGUGACCGGUCGCACUGGGACUGAGACACGGCCCAGACUCCUACGGGAGGCAGCAGUGGGGAAUAUUGGACAAUGGGCGGAAGCCUGAUCCAGCAACGCCGCGUGAGGGAUGACGGCCUUCGGGUUGUAAACCUCUUUCAGCAGGGACGAAGCGCAAGUGACGGUACCUGCAGAAGAAGCACCGGCCAACUACGUGCCAGCAGCCGCAGUAA
Molecule: ribosomal RNA, 481 nt
Filed under: uncultured bacterium
Lineage: Bacteria
Description: partial 16S ribosomal RNA
Rfam family: Bacterial small subunit ribosomal RNA
Source: RNAcentral